GACCGGACAGUAAUGUGUCCUUUUCUUCGGAACACGGUGACAGGUGGUGCAUGGUUGUCGUCAGCUCGUGUCGUGAGAUGUUGGGUUAAGUCCCGCAACGAGCGCAACCCUUAUCCCCAGUAGCCAGCAUUUUGGAUGGGCACUCUGAGGAGACUGCCAGGGAUAACCUGGAGGAAGGUGGGGAUGACGUCAAAUCAUCAUGCCCCUUAUGACUUGGGCUACACACGUGCUACAAUGGCCGUAAACAAAGGGAAGCGAGACCGUGAGGUGGAGCAAAUCCCAAAAAUAUACGUCCUCAGUUCGGACUGUAGUCUCGCAACCCGACUACACUGAAGCUGAAUCGUUAUAAUCGC
Molecule: ribosomal RNA, 353 nt
Filed under: uncultured bacterium
Lineage: Bacteria
Description: bacterial SSU rRNA
Rfam family: Bacterial small subunit ribosomal RNA
Source: RNAcentral